GCUGGGCCUGUGGUGCCCCCAAGGCUGCCCAGCCUGUGUCUCCUGCAGCUCGGUGGGAAGGAGGAGGAGGAGGAAGAGGAAGAGGAGCUGACUGAGAGGAGUGAGCAGGACUCUGGGAUCAAUGAGGAGCCGCUGCUGACAGCUGAGCAGGUCAUCGAGGAGCUGGAGGAGCUCAUGCAGAGUUCACCCGACCCCGAGGCUGACCCCGAGGGUGAAGAGGAAGAGGAGGAGGAGGAGGAUGAGGAGGAGGAGGAAGAAAGCAAGGCUGAUGCUGAAGGCAAAGGUGGUGGUGGGGGCACGGAGCCCAUCGUGCUGCGGGAGCUGCAUGCUUUCUCCCCUGCCCUCAACAACAACUGCUCCCACGAAGGUACGGCCAGCAAAGCCCAGGCCAGUCACUUUUUGGGGACAAUUCCAACCAAAUUGGACAACUGAGUCUCUCCAGGCCUCAGUGCUGGCUUGCUCUGGGACUUUGCCAGAAGGGCUCUUGGCAAAAACUGUGAAGAACACAGGGAUGUGGCUUCUGGUGUGGAAAGGCACGUGGGGGUCACCAGGAGCCUUUGUGUUCUGCAUGGGGGUUCCAUGCACGUGAGAUUUGUCACUGCUGGCGUGGGCUGUGUCACCAGCAGGCCCAGGCACUUCACUCAUUGCUCUGCUCUUUAUCUCACUGUGCAGCUUACCAAUCACACCAUGUCACUAAUGGCACUGUGCAUGUCACCAAUUGCACCAUGCAUGUCCAUAAUCACACCAUACAUGUCACCAGUUGCACGAUGCAUGUCAAUGAUUGCACCACACGUCACUAAUUGCACCAUACAUGUCACUAAUCACAGCCUGCCUGUCACUAAUUGCACUGUGAGUAUCACUGAGUGCACCUCGCAUGUCACUAAUGGUGCCAGAAGUCCCUUAAUUGCUCUGGGCACAUCGUUUAUGGCUCUGAGCAUAUCAGUAAUUGCACUCUGGGUUUAUCUCUUGCUGUCUCAGAAAAUGCAGAGCCCAUCUCGCUGAGCAGAGAUGCAUUUUACUGGCUGCAGUGUGUGUUUCACUGACUGCACUGGGGUGUCCCUGACUGCACCAGGCAUUCCCUCCUUUCCCCAUGCAUGGCACUGCCUGCAGCGAGUCCAGAGGAGGCCACGGGGAUGCGCCAAAGGCUGCAGCUCCUCUGCUGGGGUGACAAACUGGGAGAGCUGGGGAAGAGAAGGCUCUGGGGAGAGCUCAGAGCCCUGGCAGGGCCUAAAGGGGCUCCAGGGGAGCUGGAGAGGGACUGGGGACAAGGGAUGGAGGGACAGGACACAGGGAAUGGCUCCCACUGCCAGAGGGCAGGGCUGGAUGGGAU
This 1330-nucleotide long non-coding RNA is filed under the name Zonotrichia albicollis (white-throated sparrow). RNAcentral describes it as "lncRNA (ENSZALG00000016786.1)". The record is from RNAcentral. Lineage: Eukaryota; Metazoa; Chordata; Aves; Passeriformes; Passerellidae.